This is a long non-coding RNA of Bos taurus (domestic cattle), 2033 nucleotides long. Lineage: Eukaryota; Metazoa; Chordata; Mammalia; Artiodactyla; Bovidae. The record is from Ensembl.
CCAAGGACCUGCAGUGAAGAAAGAAAUCGUCCCAGAGACAGGCCCACGCAGAAGCAGGAAGCAACGUGAUGAGGGCUCCGAGGCACGGCCAUCCGGCUCCGUCUCGUUCACUCCUGGAUCCGCUUGGAGCCCCAUCCUUCCGGACCCUCAGGACGUCAGAGGGACACUUACCUGAAGACGUUGUGCCCUCACGUGCCGGCCCCCGUGGGAGAGCUUUGCGCUAUUUUCCUAGCUGUUCCUCUUCGCUCUGUCUGCCUCAUGUUUGUGGUUUGGGAAGGGGCGGAGAGUGGGUGAGUAGGGACUGAUCUCCCGGAAAAGGUCCACAGCUAGGCUGCCCUCGGCUCCGUCCAGUGGAAAGACCAGCCCAGACACAGACCGCCCCCUGUGGCUUAUGGGGAUUGACGUCCAACUCUGGUUCCCAAGACGGAUGAUGGCAGAGGGCAGAGUGACGCCCUGGGAACAUAUAUAUCUGGAUACGGCCUGAGAAUCACAUGGUCCAGUCCAGUGCCGGGGUCCAGCCCCGGUGGAUCCAGGGAAUUCGAAGCGGGGACGGCGUCGGCGAGGAUCAGGAAACAACUGCUUAAUUAAACGUUAAUUAAGGAUAUAAAGAGUAAUAGAAUAAAGACAGCUCAGUGAGGAAAUUCAGUGGAGAAAAGAGGCUGAAUAAUUCAGCCAGAAGUGGUCAUGUAUGGAUGUGAGAGGUGGACUGUGAAGAAACAUGAGCACCGAAGAAUUGAUGCUUUUGAACUGUGGUGUUGGAGAAGACUCUUAGAGUCCCUUGGACUGCAAGGAGAUCCAACCAGUCCAUUCUAAAGGAGAUUGGUCCUGGGUGUUCAUUGGAAGGAUUGAUGCUGAAGCUGAAAUUCCAAUACUUUGGCCACCUGAUGUGAAGAACUGACUCACUGGAAAAUACCCUGAUGCUGGGAAAGAUUGAAGGCGGGAAGAGAAGGGGACAACAGGGGAUGAGAUGGUUGGAUGGCAUCACCGACUCAAUGGACAUGAGUUUGAGUAAACUAUGGGAGUUGGCGAUGGACAGGGAGGCCUGGCGUGCUGCCGUCCAUGGGGUCACAAAGAGUCGGACACAGCUGAGUGACUGAACUAAACUGAAUCUCUUUCACGGGCUUCCCCGUGGCUCAGCUACAAAGAAUCUACCUGGGAUGCUAGAGACAUGGGUUCGAUCCCUGAGUCAGAAAGAUCCCCUGGAGAAGGAAAUGGCACCCACUCCAGUAUUCUUGCCUGGAGAAUCCCAAGGACAGAGGAGCCUGGUGGGCUAUGGUUCAUGGGAUCUCGAAGAGUCGUACACGACUUAGCAACUAAACAGCAACAACAACAGUCUUUGUCAAAGGAUUCGAGCUGAGGGACCCUCCAGUUAAGUGGACACUUUGUGGCUGUCCUUUGCGUCCUAGAGUUUCUGACCUAAAAUGGGCAGAUAUGUGUCCACUCUGACUCUGUGCUACAUUUGGAAUAAUGGGCUUAACUCUCCUGGGAGAUGAACUCUUUCCCCCCAAACCUACCUCCACCCCCUGCCCCCAAGGACUCCUCAUUUCUGCCCCCUAAGCGGGAGUCCAGGGGGCAUGGGUGUGAGGACCCGCAAGCCCCAGUUGGAAUCUCCUGCCUUCCCUCCGGUCGAUCACUGCUGCUGGGCUGCACCUGCCCACCCCCACACACAAGACAGAAGACCUGGCCCGGACCCAACAGUACAGUUCUUUGCUGAUGUGAUGUUCCUCUCUCAUGAGGUCGUGCACCACUCCCUGGCAGGGCGAGCCGCUCCGGAGCUGUCCCCCUGCAUUUGUUCAUCCAUCGCCUCCAGCCUGGGAUGCUGGGGUUUUCUGGUUAGCACCAUGCUCUCCACCUUCUUGCUGAUUUGGGUGUGUACACAUUCAUCAUAUUCUCCUCGUAUGUCGACUGUUUUCAGCUGGGACCAUUCUUUCUUGCCUCAUCGGAAAGCUCCAGGAAAGGGCUUGCUGAUGAAAGGAGUAUGGUGUUCGGAGGAGAACAAGCUCCCAUCAUCACGCCCAGGGGAGGAAGCCAGG